GACGAACGCUGGCGGCGUGCCUAAUACAUGCAAGUUGAGCGCUGAAGGUUGGUACUUGUACCAACUGGAUGAGCAGCGAACGGGUGAGUAACGCGUGGGGAAUCUGCCUUUGAGCGGGGGACAACAUUUGGAAACGAAUGCUAAUACCGCAUAAAAACUUUAAACACAAGUUUUAAGUUUGAAAGAUGCAAUUGCAUCACUCAAAGAUGAUCCCGCGUUGUAUUAGCUAGUUGGUGAGGUAAAGGCUCACCAAGGCGAUGAUACAUAGCCGACCUGAGAGGGUGAUCGGCCACAUUGGGACUGAGACACGGCCCAAACUCCUACGGGAGGCAGCAGUAGGGAAUCUUCGGCAAUGGACGAAAGUCUGACCGAGCAACGCCGCGUGAGUGAAGAAGGGUGUCGGAUCGUAAAACUCUGUUGGUAGAGAAGAGCGUUGGUGAGAGUGGAAAGCUCAUCAAGUGACGGUAACUACCCAGAAAGGGACGGCUAACUACGUG
RNAcentral lists this ribosomal RNA (497 nucleotides) under uncultured bacterium. RNAcentral's name for it is "partial 16S ribosomal RNA". It matches the Rfam family "Bacterial small subunit ribosomal RNA", at positions 28 to 507 of the family's 1533-position model. The record is from RNAcentral.